RNAcentral lists this ribosomal RNA (406 nucleotides) under uncultured bacterium. RNAcentral's name for it is "bacterial SSU rRNA". It matches the Rfam family "Bacterial small subunit ribosomal RNA", at positions 355 to 775 of the family's 1533-position model. The record is from RNAcentral.
UUAGGAAUUUUGCGCAAUGGGCGAAAGCCUGACGCAGCAACGCCGCGUGAGGGAAGAAGGCCUUCGGGUUGUAAACCUCUUUUAGCAGGGACGAACACAAUGACGGUACCUGCAGAAAAAGCACCGGCUAACUACGUGCCAGCAGCCGCGGUAAUACGUAGGGUGCAAGCGUUAUUCGGAUUUAUUGGGCGUAAAGCGCAUGCAGGCGGUUUGAUUAGUCUGGUGUGAAAGCCCUCGACUCAAUCGAGGAAGUGCAUUGGAUACUGUCAGACUAGAGUGCAGGAGGGGUGAGCGGAAUUCCGGGUGUAGAGGUGAAAUUCGUAGAUAUCCGGAGGAACAACAGCGGCGAAGGCGGCUCACUGGACUGUAACUGACGCUCAGAUGCGAUAGUGUGGGGAGCGAACAG